This 121-nucleotide non-coding RNA is filed under the name Alexandrium minutum. The record is from RNAcentral. Lineage: Eukaryota; Dinophyceae; Gonyaulacales; Pyrocystaceae.
UUUUUUUUUUUUUUUUUUUUUUUUUUUUUUUUUUUUUUUUUUUUUUUUUUUUUUUUUUGACAGCAGCCAUUCUGUUGAUCCGAUGGUCUGACUCUCCCCUGUCAAAAUAGUAAUGAAAAGA